GAAGAUUGUAUCAUGGGUUCGAAUCCCAUUUCCUCCGGCG
Molecule: small RNA, 40 nt
Filed under: Arabidopsis thaliana (thale cress)
Lineage: Eukaryota; Viridiplantae; Streptophyta; Magnoliopsida; Brassicales; Brassicaceae
Source: RNAcentral